GAUUUAUGCUUGGUUAUAGUUAUAGUUUACGAAUUCACAUGUAAUCACAAAGAAAAAAAAAUCAGUUUUUGUAACAUGCUUGAAGGAAGGAACUCAAAACUAACACUACAACCUUGAGAGACUUGAGCCUAAUUACGUUCUUUGGAGAGUUAUUAAUCUGUGCAUUUUUUGUUUUCUAAAGUCGUUGCAUGAUCUCAUCAUUCUUUGCUUGGUUGCUACUUAGAAGGCGUUUCAUCAUUUAAGUUCCAAAUACUAGAACUUAUGCCCGUUCCAUUCAAAGCAUGACAUUGAUUUGCAUAACACAUAUUCAAGAUGAAGUUGUGUAGUGAACUAGAGCCAAAAAGCUUAUCCCGUGCAUAUUUUGUUUAAGUUUAACCCCGUUGAGCCUUGUUUAGCCUGUUUUCUUUGUUAAACCACAUUUCCCUUACCUAGCCUAGAUUAGGACUAUCCAUACCCUUGUUUUUAAAGCAUAAUGAAGCAUGACUUAAAAUGAAUUCCUUUUGAUUGUCCUUAUGCAGAAAACAAGUGUGGGGGAAUGAGAUUUUUGUGUUUAGUGUGCCAAAAGAAAGUAAUAAGGCACGGGUUAGAAAAGAAAAAAAAAGAAUAGAAAAAGUGUUGAAAAGAAAAGAAAAAGAGUUUGAAAUAAGUGAGGAAAGGCUCACAAGUGUUGUUUGUUGUAGAAAGGGUCCAAAAAGUUGAAAUCGGCCCUAAAAAGUUGAAUGAAUAACCCCAUUGUGUUUAAAGUUAGUUGCUGCAUUCAAAGGGAAUUCUAAGCAUCAAUUUCAUUACUUUGCUUAUUAUGCUUUAAAAACGUUUGUUUCCUUACCUUUCAUUGUUAGCCAAUCACCCCUAACCCCGUUACACCCCUUAACUUCAAUCUCGAGUGUUAUGUGUUUCAAUAUGUGGAGUUUGGGAUUGGUACGAGCAUAUGGUGUCCCUGGUUCUCGCAUCUAAGUAGUAGCAUUCCAAUCAUGAGAUCAUAUCUAUACAUGCUUAAUAACUCCAUAAAUUGCUUUCUUUGCUAUAAACAUAUGUGAGUGUUCGUUUUCAUGUUUACAUCAAUCUUCUCACAUACACCUAGUGUAGGGUGUGUAGUCAGAAAAUCGGAGUGAAAAUAAGAGUGUAUCUUGUAAGGAAUUGAGCAGAUUCUCUAAGGCAUGUUACUACAUUCAAAACAUAGUUUUAAUUGGUUAUAUGUGAACUAGUAUGUGGUGACUAUAAUUAAGUAUUUGCUCAAGGGUGGGGAAGGCCAAAAUAUGUGGUUAUGAUGAUCUUUUGCAUGUCAUGUUGCAUUGAAAAUCCCUAAGGUAAAUAUUGGAAGGUUCAGGUUUUGUUUUGUUCUUAUGUUUUGCUCGAGGACUAGCAAAAGCUAAGUGUGGGGGAAUUUGAUAGGAGCAUAUUUAUGCGACUUAGUAUGUUUGUUUUCGUGCAUUUAUGUUCUUAGUUCUUAGUUAUGUUAGUAGUUUAAGCCAUUUUUGGGUGUUGGUAGGUUCUAUGGGCCAAGGAUGCAAGAAGAUGCAUUUUGGAGCAUUUGGGAGCAUUUUUGGGCCAAGAUUGGAUGGUGCAAACAUGGAGACAUGAGGAUGGACGAAUUUGAAGUCAAAUGAGGCUAGGAACAUGCUAAAAAUGUGGUGAAACAAAUACAAAGUGCAAGAAGGGAUAGGUUUCUAGAAGGAUUGGCCAAAACUUCACUAAAAAACCUCAAUGCCGUGGCUUUUACUUCAAAGCAACCAGAAAUUUGAGUGGAUGAUGCAAUGCUUAACUCACCAUGACAUGUGAGUGGAUGAUGCAAUGCUUAAGUCACCAUGACAUGUGAGUGGAUGAUGCAAUGCUUAGCUCACCAUGACAUGUGAGUGGAUGACUCAAAACCUACCCCAACAACAAUUCUCCACCAUUGCCGUGAGUUUACCUACCCAUUCCACCAGAAAUUUGUGCUUAAACAAGUCCAUCCUCUCCCUAUAAAUACCAUGCAGCAACCUCAUUCAAUUCAUCCAUAAAUUAACCAUUCUCCAAGCCUUUCCUUGCCUCUCCUACAUAUCUAAACCCCUUCCCAUCCAUUC
RNAcentral lists this long non-coding RNA (2060 nucleotides) under Malus domestica (apple). RNAcentral describes it as "long non-coding RNA (MDOM_LNC020062)". Lineage: Eukaryota; Viridiplantae; Streptophyta; Magnoliopsida; Rosales; Rosaceae. The record is from RNAcentral.